RNAcentral lists this ribosomal RNA (465 nucleotides) under uncultured bacterium. RNAcentral's name for it is "bacterial SSU rRNA". It matches the Rfam family "Bacterial small subunit ribosomal RNA", at positions 338 to 795 of the family's 1533-position model. The record is from RNAcentral.
CCUACGGGGGGCACCAGUGGGGAAUAUUGCACAAUGGGCGCAAGCCUGAUGCAGCCAUGCCGCGUGUAUGAAGAAGGCCUUCGGGUUGUAAAGUACUUUCAGCGGGGAGGAAGGUGUCGUGGUUAAUAACCACAGCAAUUGCCGUUACCCGCGGAAGAAGCACCGGCUAACUCCGUGCCAGCAGCCGCGGUAAUACGGAGGGUGCAAGCGUUAAUCGGAAUUACUGGUCGUAAAGCGCACGCAGGCGGUCUGUCAAGUCGGAUGUGAAAUCCCCGGGCUCAACCUGGGAACUGCAUUCGAAACUGGCAGGCUAGAGUCUUGUAGAGGGGGGUAGAAUUCCAGGUGUAGCGGUGAAAUGCGUAGAGAUCUGGAGGAAUACCGGUGGCGAAGGCGGCCCCCUGGACAAAGACUGACGCUCAGGUGCGAAAGCGUGGGGAGCAAACAGGAUUAGAUACCCUUGUAGUC